GAUGAACGCUAGCGGGAGGCUUAACACAUGCAAGUCGUGGGGCAGCAUAAUGUAGCAAUACGUUGAUGGCGACCGGCGCACGGGUGAGUAACACGUAUGCAACCUACCCUUUACAGGGGGAUAGCCCGGAGAAAUUCGGAUUAAUACCCCAUAAUAAUAUAAAUAGGCAUCUAUUAAUAUUUAAAGUUUCGGCGGUAAAGGAUGGGCAUGCGCAACAUUAGCUGGUUGGUAGGGUAACGGCCUACCAAGGCAACGAUGUUUAGGGGACCUGAGAGGGUGAUCCCCCACACUGGUACUGAGACACGGACCAGACUCCUACGGGAGGCAG
RNAcentral lists this ribosomal RNA (328 nucleotides) under uncultured Bacteroidota bacterium. RNAcentral describes it as "bacterial SSU rRNA". It matches the Rfam family "Bacterial small subunit ribosomal RNA", at positions 28 to 351 of the family's 1533-position model. Lineage: Bacteria; Pseudomonadati; Bacteroidota. The record is from RNAcentral.